AGAGUUUGAUCCUGGCUCAGAUUGAACGCUGGCGGAAUGCUUUACACAUGCAAGUCGAACGGCAGCACGGACUUCGGUCUGGUGGCGAGUGGCGAACGGGUGAGUAACAUAUCGGAACGUAUCCAAUAAUGGGGGAUAACUAAUCGAAAGGUUGGCUAAUACCGCAUACGCCCUACGGGGGAAAGCUAGGGACCUUCGGGCCUGGCGUUAAUGGAGCGGCCGAUAUCUGAUUAGCUAGUUGGUGGGGUAAAGGCCCACCAAGGCGACGAUCAGUAGCUGGUCUGAGAGGACGACCAGCCACACUGGAACUGAGACACGGUCCAGACUCCUACAGGAGGCAGCAGUGGGGAAUUUUGGACAAUGGGCGCAAGCCUGAUCCAGCCAUUCCGCGUGAGUGAAGAAGGCCUUCGGGUUGUAAAGCUCUUUCGCAAGGGAAGAAAACUUAGGCUCUAACAUAGCCUGAGGUUGACGGUACCUUGAUAAGAAGCACCGGCUAACUACGUGCCAGCAGCCGCGGUAAUACGUAGGGUGCGAGCGUUAAUCGGAAUUACUGGGCGUAAAGCGUGCGCAGGCGGUUUCGUAAGACAGACGUGAAAUCCCCGGGCUCAACCUGGGAACUGCGUUUGAAACUACGGAGCUAGAGUACGGCAGAGGGGGGUGGAAUUCCACGUGUAGCAGUGAAAUGCGUAGAUAUGUGGAGGAACACCGAUGGCGAAGGCAGCCCCCUGGGCCGAUACUGACGCUCAGGCACGAAAGCGUGGGGAGCAAACAGGAUUAGAUACCCUGGUAGUCC
This 793-nucleotide ribosomal RNA is filed under the name uncultured bacterium. Its description in RNAcentral is "bacterial SSU rRNA". It matches the Rfam family "Bacterial small subunit ribosomal RNA", at positions 8 to 796 of the family's 1533-position model. The record is from RNAcentral.